RNAcentral lists this ribosomal RNA (39 nucleotides) under Phaseolus parvifolius. RNAcentral describes it as "partial small subunit ribosomal RNA". Lineage: Eukaryota; Viridiplantae; Streptophyta; Magnoliopsida; Fabales; Fabaceae. The record is from RNAcentral.
UCUACAGGUUUCCGUAGGUGACCUGCGGAAGGAUCAUUG